AGAAGUGAAACGCCGUAGCGCCGAUGGUAGUGUGGGGUCUCCCCAUGUGAGAGUAGGGAACUGCCAAGC
This 69-nucleotide ribosomal RNA is filed under the name Proteus mirabilis. The record is from RNAcentral. Lineage: Bacteria; Pseudomonadati; Pseudomonadota; Gammaproteobacteria; Enterobacterales; Morganellaceae.